RNAcentral lists this transfer RNA (82 nucleotides) under Cafeteria roenbergensis. It matches the Rfam family "tRNA". Rfam says of the family: Transfer RNA (tRNA) molecules are approximately 80 nucleotides in length. Their secondary structure includes four short double-helical elements and three loops (D, anti-codon, and T loops). The record is from Rfam by way of RNAcentral. RNAcentral also lists the same sequence under 1 other name. Lineage: Eukaryota; Bigyra; Bicosoecida; Cafeteriaceae.
GGUACUGUAGCAAAGUGGUUAAUGCGAUCGGCUGCUAACCGGUUGGUCUUAGACCGCGCAGGUUCGAAUCCUGUCAGUGCCG